RNAcentral lists this ribosomal RNA (468 nucleotides) under uncultured bacterium. Its description in RNAcentral is "partial 16S ribosomal RNA". It matches the Rfam family "Bacterial small subunit ribosomal RNA", at positions 28 to 507 of the family's 1533-position model. The record is from RNAcentral.
GACGAACGCUGGCGGCGUGCUUAACACAUGCAGGUCGAACGGAAAGGCCCUGCUUUUGUGGGGUGCUCGAGUGGCGAACGGGUGAGUAACACGUGAGUAACCUGCCCUUGACUUUGGGAUAACUUCAGGAAACUGGGGCUAAUACCGGAUAGGAGCUCCUGCUGCAUGGUGGGGGUUGGAAAGUUUCGGCGGUUGGGGAUGGACUCGCGGCUUAUCAGCCUGUUGGUGGGGUAGUGGCUUACCAAGGCUUUGACGGGUAGCCGGCCUGAGAGGGUGACCGGCCACAUGGGGACUGAGAUACGGCCCAGACGCCUACGGGAGGCAGCGGGGGGAAAUAUUGCACAAUGGGCGGAAGCCUGAUGCAGCAACGCCGCGUGCGGGAGGACGGCCUUCGGGUUGUAAACCGCUUUCGCCUGGGACGAAGCGGGAGUGACGGUAAGGGGUAAAGAAGCACCGGCUAACUACGUG